GAUGAACGCUAGCGGCAGGCCCAACACAUGCAAGUCGAGGGGCAGCACAUAAAGUGGUUUACUACUUUUGGUGGCGACCGGCGGACGGGUGCGUAACGCGUAUGCAACCUGCCUCCAACAGGGGGAUAACGGAGAGAAAUUUCCACUAAUACCCCAUACUAUCAGAAUCGGCAUCGGUUUUGGUUGAAAACUUCGGUGGUUGGAGAUGGGCAUGCGUUGUAUUAGAUAGUUGGUGAGGUAACGGCUCACCAAGUCAACGAUACAUAGGGGGACUGAGAGGUUAGCCCCCCACACUGGUACUGAGACACGGACCAGACUCCUACGGGAGGCAGCAGUGAGGAAUAUUGGUCAAUGGGGGCAACCCUGAACCAGCCAUGCCGCGUGCAGGAAGACGGCUCUAUGAGUUGUAAACUGCUUUUACAAGGGGAUAAAUCGGUGUACGUGUACACCGUUGAAGGUACCUUGGGAAUAAGGAUCGGCUAACUCCGUGCCAGCCGCCGCCGUAA
Molecule: ribosomal RNA, 506 nt
Filed under: uncultured bacterium
Lineage: Bacteria
Description: partial 16S ribosomal RNA
Rfam family: Bacterial small subunit ribosomal RNA
Source: RNAcentral